Molecule: microRNA precursor, 285 nt
Filed under: Gossypium raimondii (Peruvian cotton)
Lineage: Eukaryota; Viridiplantae; Streptophyta; Magnoliopsida; Malvales; Malvaceae
Description: miR8771b stem-loop (gra-MIR8771b)
Source: miRBase by way of RNAcentral
GUUAAACUCCAUUACCUCCCUAACGGUAAUCCUAUGUGACAAUUCAAAUGAGUUUUAAAUGCCAACUUAGAUGUCCAAUUAGGACUAGAAUAGGUUUUUAAUUAAAUAAAUUUAAUUAAUUAAAAGUUUAAAACUAAUUACACCUUGAAUUGAAAAAGAAAAACCAUUAGUCUCAUUUUUCUUUUAGUUUUCUUUUCCAUUUUGACUGAAAAAAAUAUUCUCAUUAAAGUUGACAUUUAAAACCUAUUUGGACUGGAUUGUCGUUAGGGAGGUAAUUGAGUUUAA